CCGUCGUCGAAAUGCAGCUAAUGUGUCAAAGGUUCACCGAUAUUCCGCCACUAAUCCUUCCUGUUUAACUGCCAAAAGCUUUUCACAGAGACUCCCCUCUUGUGUCAACCAGAAGCAUAACAGCAAUUGACUUCGGAAUUGCGCCCACCUGUGGAAGGGGGUCCUGGCUUCGGUCCACUGUAACCAUGAUAAGGUCUCACCGUCCAAGCUUACCCCGACUAUACCUAAUUUUUCCUUUUCCGACAGCCCAUUGACUUCGAAGUACCUUUUUCCCUGAAAUAGCCACCCAUCUGGGUUUUCUCCACUAAAGAUGGGCAUCUCUAGCUUCCUAAUCAUUCGCCAAUUGUUCUCUUCUCUGUUCGGUCCAAAUUUGCCCAUGUCACUAUCGACACUAGCCUCAGAUAGCCCUUCCGACCACUUUCCCCUAUCUGGGGCUCUUUGAUCUGCCCGGAAUGUACUGGCUGGAACCAGCCCUUCUGUGACACUGCCAGAACUUCCUCCUUCAAAACUCUUAUUCGCCCCUACCUUCAAAUUAGCCAACGCCGCCACCGCCUUUUGGGUUUCUUCCUGGGAUUGCAGAAGUUUGGCCACAUUCUGUGCAAGAUGUUCCAUUGCUUUCUCCAAUCCUUGUAGCUUCUGGAGCUCUGUCCUUACUUCCUCCAUUUCUUUCUCCAAGGCUUCCAACUUAGUCUUGGUUUUCUUUUGAGCCAUUAGGAUCCACUGUCUUGAUACCAAUUUGUUAAGACACUAUUCAGGAAAUAAAAUGAAUUGGGUAUUGUGAACCCCUCUUUUGAUUGAUGAACAAGAGCAAUCACAAAUUCAUAUAACAAAAGCCUGUAGAAGGCCGAAAUGAAAACUCUACUCAACACUCCAAUUUCUUUUUCAGCCUUUUUCCCCCCAUACUAGCCUCUUAUUUAUAACUUUCUUUCUAACUGAUUUCCUUGCCACUUUUCCUUCCCUCAACAGCAUUCUGUUUUCUGCUUCCCUCCACCCAAUACACCCCUCUUCUUGGGCCUUCUAGAAUAUGUGAACCGGAUAGGGGGCUUAUCAAUGUUAUGCUUACUGCAUCCACCGUUUCUUGGAAGUUUACUAUUUGAGGAUUCUGCAACCUUGAGCUGUCUUCAUUGAGUCUUAUUGACUAAAUUUUAUUUCAAAGACACAAGUUUUUUUAUACUACCACUGUUUCAUGGUGUUUACAAAUGCAAAUAUUUUGCUUCAUGAUAAUGAUGAUUGAAUCUUUUGUGAAAUUAUUAGGCCCCUUGGCAGUAGUUGACGAGCACGUCAAUACAUUCUUCCAAAUUGUUUUGACGCAAUUGGUCUGAUGCUCAUGAUUCGCAUUAUACACCAGCACCAGGUGGCUGUCUAAACUUCUACCAUUAGAAUGGCUGCCAUAAAUAUUUCUUUUAAUUCAUGCAUUGCUGUAACAUAAAUUUUGAAUUUAAUUUUUUAUAGGAGUUUUCUUCUGAUCAAAUAUCUGAUGUUUUGCCUCAGAAGACCCUGUCAGGAUUUCUUGUGUGAUUGAGAUUGCCUGGAAUAAAUUUGUUUUAGUGAAUGUUUUCAAGCAUUCAAUAUCAUUUGGUUGGUCCACAAGUUACAGAGGACCACUGACGAGUUUGGUUCCUGACAAGUGAGUUCUUGGAGCAUCAGCCCCGAAUUGUUCAAGGUGGCUGCCGAUUGAGAACCUUCCCUUUUAGUAGCAUUGUGUGUGUCUCUACACAUUGUCUAAAAUUCCUUAAUAAAUUGGCAUCUGAUGUGAAUAUCUAUUGAGAUUUCAACCAUAAAGGAGACUCAUUAAGUGUUAGAUAUUGUGUUUUUCAUAUUCUUUUCAAUGGGGCAAACAGAACCUUCAAUAGUAAUGCUUUUUGACGGAAA
This 1872-nucleotide long non-coding RNA is filed under the name Olea europaea subsp. europaea. Lineage: Eukaryota; Viridiplantae; Streptophyta; Magnoliopsida; Lamiales; Oleaceae. The record is from RNAcentral.